GAAUGGCAAAUUAUUAGUUUACAGCUCUUUACUAAAGCUGAAUUUGAACUUUUAGGUCCAAGAGACAACUAGCUCAAAGUAAACAGACUAGAUCAAGGCGUGACAUAGAACUUUCUUUGGCUACCGAGAAUCCAGAUUUUCUCCUUCAUCUUUUCUUUCUUAUUAAACAAUUUCUCCUUGAACAGAGUUACAAAAUUAAACAAUUUUUUCCAAUUAAAGACAGUAUUUCUUCCAAUAAAAUGUUGUAGCCAAACCAAACCCACUACAAAGUCACAUGGAUUCCCACUAUGCAGCACGGAAACGGAAACGUGGACAUGGAGAAACGCGGAAACGGACACUGGAAACGGCAUUUUCAAAAAUAU
RNAcentral lists this unclassified non-coding RNA (362 nucleotides) under Hevea brasiliensis (rubber tree). Lineage: Eukaryota; Viridiplantae; Streptophyta; Magnoliopsida; Malpighiales; Euphorbiaceae. The record is from RNAcentral.